Molecule: transfer RNA, 75 nt
Filed under: Akkermansiaceae bacterium
Lineage: Bacteria; Pseudomonadati; Verrucomicrobiota; Verrucomicrobiia; Verrucomicrobiales; Akkermansiaceae
Description: tRNA-His
Rfam family: tRNA
About the family: Transfer RNA (tRNA) molecules are approximately 80 nucleotides in length. Their secondary structure includes four short double-helical elements and three loops (D, anti-codon, and T loops).
Source: RNAcentral
GGAGCCAUCGUGUAAUGGUCAGCACCCGGCAUUGUGAAUGCCGCAGUGUGGGUUCGAAUCCCACUGGUUCCCCCA